This 468-nucleotide ribosomal RNA is filed under the name uncultured bacterium. RNAcentral's name for it is "partial 16S ribosomal RNA". It matches the Rfam family "Bacterial small subunit ribosomal RNA", at positions 28 to 507 of the family's 1533-position model. The record is from RNAcentral.
GACGAACGCUGGCGGCGUGCUUAACACAUGCCAGUCGAACGGAAAGGCCCUGCUUUUGUGGGGUGCUCGAGUGGCGAACGGGUGAGUAACACGUGAGUAACCUGCCCUUGACUUUGGGAUAACUUCAGGAAACUGGGGCUAAUACCGGAUAGGAGCUCCUGCUGCAUGGCGGGGGUUGGAAAGUUUCGGCGGUUGGGGAUGGACUCGCGGCUUAUCAGCUUGUUGGUGGGGUAGUGGCUUACCAAGGCAUUGACGGGUAGCCGGCCUGAGAGGGUGACCGGCCACAUUGGGACUGAGAUACGGCCCAGACUCCUACGGGAGGCAGCAGUGGGGAAUAUUGCACAAUGGGCGGAAGCCUGAUGCAGCAACGCCGCGUGCGGGAUGACGGCCUUCGGGUUGUAAACCGCUUUCGCCUGUGACGAAGCGUGAGUGACGGUAAUGGGUAAAGAAGCACCGGCUAACUACGUG